GCGUACAUCACGCACCCAGCCUUUUGGAAAUGAGCUGGAGACCAGGCAUUUUUGCACUCCAAUACUUAGUAAAUUUCACACACUCACACCUGAUUUUUUCCCUGCACACCUCUUUGGUUUGGGCCUGUUUUCUUCCUUGGUUGAUAUAUGUGUAACUGAUACAUGAGAUUGGCCCUUACCGCUGUAUGGACUGAUAUAUAGGGUGCCUUAAAGGCCGCCUUAAAACUAAGUGUUUCCCUGAGCUUUUAAUUGCGGCUUGAAAAAAGUAAAAAGAAAUGAAAAAAAGAGAGAGAGAGAAAAAUGGAGGCAGGCUUGAGCUUCGUCUUUCACUCUGGGCCUACCCUGCUGUAGCAGACGGACUACUAUCAGAGACUCGAACUAGGGUCGUUAAACUCUGGAGUCCGAAUGCUGGCCUCUUAACGCUGUACACCACUCAGCAGGGCGAGUAAACUUUGGAAAAAAAAGGACAUUUAUCUUUUGUCCUUCAAUUUUUUAUUUUUUUUUUGUUAUCGUUUUUCUAAAUCUAUUAAGCUUCUUGUGCAAUAUUGUUCCACACAAAUUACACAUGGACAUCUAGCUAUUUUUUUUAUUGGCAUUCACAAAAUGGGACUGGAUGUUGGACGGCUUACCAAAGCCUUCCUGCUACCCGAAUCCCUGCUUGGAAACCUGCUGGCCGCGGCGGCACCAUGUUUUCACCACACUCUUCCGCUUCAGCUGUCUUUUUUGCCUCAUGGCUAUACCCACACUGACCACUCCUUCAAUGAAGACAGUAAUGAGAUCAUCUGCACACUCCACAGAGCUCCAGAGUUACUGUUCAUAGCAAAAGUGUAAUGCUGUCCUUGGAGAUUUUCACCUAAGACUGUGAGUGUGAGUGUGUAAUGGAUUUCAAAGUGUUUAAGUGUUCAGAGCACUCUACAGCCUGGUAAGGUGGCAAGUUUGAAAAGAGCAGCAGAAGGUAUCAGUACUGUAGUGUAACUUGUUCUUUUCCUUUCCUAACAGUGAACAGAGUGCCGAUUAUUAUCGACAGCUACGUCCACCCGGGGUGAAAGUAGUGUGGGAGACCAUCAGGACCCAGCUGGGUUUCCUUGGUCCAGAGGUUUGGAGAAACCUCUUCCUUUUCUUUCAUCACAGCUGUCCUGUGCCAGAUGUUCUGUUGACCACUGAGAGAGGCGUGUUUGAGAAAGAUCAGGAAGACUGAAGCUCAUGGUAGGAAUGAAGGAGGACCUUGUGAGCUCCACCAGCAGCUCCCUCACAAGGAACUGUUCACAAGUCCACUGCAGGCACGCCCCAGAAGAUGGAUAAAGGCAGCGUUUCAUGAAGACACUGGAACCAAUCUAUCUUCAUAACAGCAGGAUAAAGACAUGGUGAUAAAUGAGUGUGUGG
Long non-coding RNA from Oreochromis niloticus (Nile tilapia), 1383 nucleotides. RefSeq lists it as uncharacterized. Lineage: Eukaryota; Metazoa; Chordata; Actinopteri; Cichliformes; Cichlidae. The record is from RefSeq and is a predicted model, not a curated record. The transcript is spliced from 3 exons.